This 402-nucleotide ribosomal RNA is filed under the name uncultured bacterium. RNAcentral's name for it is "bacterial SSU rRNA". It matches the Rfam family "Bacterial small subunit ribosomal RNA", at positions 30 to 433 of the family's 1533-position model. The record is from RNAcentral.
AUUGAACGCUGGCGGCAUGCCUUACACAUGCAAGUCGAACGGCAGCACGGGAGCAAUCCUGGUGGCGAGUGGCGAACGGGUGAGUAAUAUAUCGGAACGUGCCCAGUCGUGGGGAUAACGUAGCGAAAGCUACGCUAAUACCGCAUACGAUCUAUGGAUGAAAGCGGGGGAUCGCAAGACCUCGCGCGAUUGGAGCGGCCGAUAUCAGAUUAGGUAGUUGGUGAGGUAAAGGCUCACCAAGCCGACGAUCUGUAGCUGGUCUGAGAGGACGACCAGCCACACUGGGACUGAGACACGGCCCAGACUCCUACGGGAGGCAGCAGUGGGGAAUUUUUGGGACAAUGGGCGCAAGCCUGAUCCAGCAAUGCCGCGUGCAGGAUGAAGGCCUCGGUUGUAACUAGC